Molecule: ribosomal RNA, 465 nt
Filed under: Vreelandella stevensii
Lineage: Bacteria; Pseudomonadati; Pseudomonadota; Gammaproteobacteria; Oceanospirillales; Halomonadaceae
Description: partial 16S ribosomal RNA
Rfam family: Bacterial small subunit ribosomal RNA
Source: RNAcentral
CCUACGGGAGGCAGCAGUGGGGAAUAUUGGACAAUGGGGGGAACCCUGAUCCAGCCAUGCCGCGUGUGUGAAGAAGGCCCUCGGGUUGUAAAGCACUUUCAGUGAGGAAGAACGCCUGGUGGUUAAUACCCAUCAGGAAAGACAUCACUCACAGAAGAAGCACCGGCUAACUCCGUGCCAGCAGCCGCGGUAAUACGGAGGGUGCGAGCGUUAAUCGGAAUUACUGGGCGUAAAGCGCGCGUAGGUGGCUUGAUAAGCCGGUUGUGAAAGCCCCGGGCUCAACCUGGGAACGGCAUCCGGAACUGUCAAGCUAGAGUGCAGAAGAGGAAGGUAGAAUUCCCGGUGUAGCGGUGAAAUGCGUAGAGAUCGGGAGGAAUACCAGUGGCGAAGGCGGCCUUCUGGACUGACACUGACACUGAGGUGCGAAAGCGUGGGUAGCAAACAGGAUUAGAUACCCUAGUAGUC